UCAGCCUCUCCUGAAUCUCAGCUCUGCAAGUGUUGUCCGUCUCUUCUCAGACUCUCUAGUCCCAUGAUCGUUGCAAGGUGGACAACUGUCCUCGUGAGCACAUGCCUGGCCACACUGAGGGCUAGGAGCAGAAGAAGCACUAGGGAUUGAACCCAGGAUCUUAUGCAUGCUAAGCAUGUGCUCUACCACUUGAGCUACAUACUCCUCCCUACCCUGCAGAGUAACUUGUAAGUUACCGAAUCUUGAAAGAAAUGUCUCAGUGCUCAAUGGCCGUGGAAUCCCUGGUCAAGCAGACACCCCUCUGAUGCUCUUCCCAGCUCAUGAUCCUUUUCCUGGUGACAGGACCCUGGCAGCCGUGUUUGUGUUAUGAAUACCAACCCCUGUUGCUGUGGGUGGGAACAGGGCAAACCUAAGCUUAGCCAAUUAGAUUCUCACUCCCAGAAAUUUGGUGUUGGGAUUCAGAGACAGCCAGUAACUUUUUCUCUAGGGUGGGAACUGAAUUGGUGAAAACUCAAGCAGAGGAAAAGCACACAGAGAAAGAUGGUCUGAAGAGAGAGAAGAAACAGGUGUACUGAGGGAAAUAAGGUGGAGAAAUGGAGAGGGAAUACUGGCAGGGUUCCCAAAGGCUGUCCAGGUCUUUGCUCUGGACCCUUCUGAAGCUUGACUGCUUUUAUGCCCCUAGAUUUUAUGAAUUACCUCUGUAACCUUAGAAUAAAAUUUCCCUUUCAAUUGAGCUAGCUCAAGUUGACUUCUCUUACUGUUAACCAAACUGAUCUUAAGUCAAGUACUCAGUUUCUGUAAAGCCGAAAUCCUUGUGAAGCCUGGACACAUUACUCUUGUCUCAAGGUGCCAUGGGAAAUAUCUCCAAUAAAAAAAAAUUUUUUUUUUAUUGUAAGAGAAA
Long non-coding RNA from Camelus dromedarius (Arabian camel), 901 nucleotides. RefSeq lists it as uncharacterized. The record is from RefSeq and is a predicted model, not a curated record. The transcript is spliced from 3 exons. Lineage: Eukaryota; Metazoa; Chordata; Mammalia; Artiodactyla; Camelidae.